Molecule: ribosomal RNA, 305 nt
Filed under: uncultured bacterium
Lineage: Bacteria
Description: bacterial SSU rRNA
Rfam family: Bacterial small subunit ribosomal RNA
Source: RNAcentral
ACCUACGGGACGUAGCAGUGAGGAAUAUUGGUCAAUGGGCGGAAGCCUGAACCAGCCAAGUCGCGUGAGGGAAUAAGGCCCUACGGGUCGUAAACCUCUUUUGCCGGGGAGCAAGGGCGGGGACGUGUCCCGGCCCGGAGAGUACCCGGAGAAAAAGCAUCGGCUAACUCCGUGCCAGCAGCCGCGGUAAUACGGAGGAUGCGAGCGUUAUCCGGAUUUAUUGGGUUUAAAGGGUGCGUAGGCGGGCUUUUAAGUCAGCGGUAAAAAUUCGGGGCUCAACUUGUAGACUGCAGUUGAAACUGGUU